RNAcentral lists this ribosomal RNA (404 nucleotides) under uncultured bacterium. RNAcentral's name for it is "bacterial SSU rRNA". It matches the Rfam family "Bacterial small subunit ribosomal RNA", at positions 355 to 774 of the family's 1533-position model. RNAcentral also lists the same sequence under 1 other name. The record is from RNAcentral.
UCGGGAAUAUUGCGCAAUGGAGGAAACUCUGACGCAGUGACGCCGCGUGCAGGAAGAAGGUUUUCGGAUUGUAAACUGCUUUAGACAGGGAAGAAGAAGUGACAGUACCUGUAGAAUAAGCUCCGGCUAACUACGUGCCAGCAGCCGCGGUAAUACGUAGGGAGCGAGCGUUAUCCGGAUUUAUUGGGUGUAAAGGGUGCGUAGAUGGAUAUGCAAGUUGGUUGUGAAAUACCUCGGCUUAACUGAGGAACUGCAACCAAAACUGUAAAUCUUGAGUACUGGAGGGGAAAGCGGAAUUCCUAGUGUAGCGGUGAAAUGCGUAGAUAUUAGGAAGAACACCGGUGGCGAAGGCGGCUUUCUGGACAGAAACUGACAUUGAGGCACGAAAGUGUGGGGAGCAAACA